This 442-nucleotide ribosomal RNA is filed under the name uncultured bacterium. Its description in RNAcentral is "partial 16S ribosomal RNA". It matches the Rfam family "Bacterial small subunit ribosomal RNA", at positions 338 to 795 of the family's 1533-position model. The record is from RNAcentral.
CCUACGGGAGGCAGCAGUAGGGAAUCUUUCACAAUGGGCGAAAGCCUGAUGCAGCAACGCCGCGUGCAGGAUGAAGGCCUUCGGGUUGUAAACUGCUUUUAUAAGCGAGAAAUAUGAUGGUAACUUAUGAAUAAGGAUCGGCUAACUACGUGCCAGCAGCCGCGGUCAUACGUAGGAUCCGAGCAUUAUCCGGAGUGACUGGGUGUAAAGAGUUGCGUAGGUGGCAUAAUAAGCAGCUAGUGAAAUCUGGUGGCUCAACCAUUCGAACUAUUAGCGAAACUGUUAGGCUCGAGACCGUUAGAGGUAAGUGGAAUGUCUAGUGUAGGGGUGAAAUCCGUAGAGAUCAGAAGGAACACCAAUAGCGAAGGCAGGUUGCUGGGACAGUUCUGACGCUAAGGCACGAAAGCGUAGGGAGCAAACGGGAUUAGAUACCCGGGUAGUC